Molecule: ribosomal RNA, 482 nt
Filed under: uncultured bacterium
Lineage: Bacteria
Description: partial 16S ribosomal RNA
Rfam family: Bacterial small subunit ribosomal RNA
Source: RNAcentral
GACGAACGCUGGAGGCGUGCUUAACACAUGCAAGUCGAACGAUGAAAUGGAGCUUGCUCCAUGGAUUAGUGGCGAACGGGUGAGUAACACGUGAAUAACCUGCACUUAAUUUUGGAAUAACCCAGGGAAACCUGGGCUAAUACCGGAUAAGUAAACCUGUGGCAUCACAUGGUUUUGGAAAGUUCUUCGAUUAAGGAUGGAUUCGCGGCCUAUCAGCUUGUUGGUGAGGUAAUGGCUCACCAAGGCGACGACGGGUAGCCGGCCUGAGAGGGGGGAGGGCCACACUGGGACUGAGACGCGGCACAGACACCUACGGGCGGCAGCGGUGGGGGAUAUUGGGCCAUGGACGAAAGGCUGACGCAGCGACGCCUCGUGAGGGACGAAGGUCUUCGGAGUGUAAACCUCUUUCAGCAGAGACGAAGCGAAAGUGACGGUACCUACAGAAGAAGCACCGGCUAAGUAUGUGCCAGCCGCCGCGGUAA